RNAcentral lists this ribosomal RNA (492 nucleotides) under uncultured bacterium. RNAcentral's name for it is "partial 16S ribosomal RNA". It matches the Rfam family "Bacterial small subunit ribosomal RNA", at positions 29 to 507 of the family's 1533-position model. The record is from RNAcentral.
AGUGAACGCUGGCGGUAGGCCUAACACAUGCAAGUCGAACGGCAGCACAGUAAGAGCUUGCUCUUACGGGUGGCGAGUGGCGGACGGGUGAGGAAUACAUCGGAAUCUACUUUUUCGUGGGGGAUAACGUAGGGAAACUUACGCUAAUACCGCAUACGACCUACGGGUGAAAGCAGGGGAUCUUCGGACCUUGCGCGAUUGAAUGAGCCGAUGUCGGAUUAGCUAGUUGGCGGGGUAAAGGCCCACCAAGGCGACGAUCCGUAGCUGGUCUGAGAGGAUGAUCAGCCACACUGGAACUGAGACACGGUCCAGACUCCUACGGGAGGCAGCAGUGGGGAAUAUUGGACAAUGGGCGCAAGCCUGAUCCAGCAAUGCCGCGUGGGUGAAGAAGGCCUUCGGGUUGUAAAGCCCUUUUGUUGGGAAAGAAAAGCAGCAGGUUAAUACCCCGAUGUUCUGACGGUACCCAAAGAAUAAGCACCGGCUAACUUCGUG